This 448-nucleotide ribosomal RNA is filed under the name uncultured bacterium. RNAcentral's name for it is "bacterial SSU rRNA". It matches the Rfam family "Bacterial small subunit ribosomal RNA", at positions 355 to 796 of the family's 1533-position model. The record is from RNAcentral.
UGGGGAAUCUUGCGCAAUGGGCGAAAGCCUGACGCAGCGACGCCGCGUGGGUGAUGAAGGCCUUCGGGUUGUAAAGCCCUGUGGGGAGAGACGAAUAAGUCGGAGCCAAUACCUCCGGCGAUGACGGUACCUCCUUAGCAAGCACCGGCUAACUCUGUGCCAGCAGCCGCGGUAAGACAGAGGGUGCAAACGUUGUUCGGAAUUACUGGGCGUAAAGCGUGUGUAGGCGGCCGUGCAAGUCGGAUGUGAAAGCCCCGGGCUCAACCCGGGAAGUGCACCCGAAACUGCAUGGCUUGAGUACCGGAGAGGUUGGUGGAAUUCUCGGUGUAGAGGUGAAAUUCGUAGAUAUCGAGAGGAACACCGGUGGCGAAGGCGGCCAACUGGACGAGUACUGACGCUGAGACACGAAAGCGUGGGGAGCAAACAGGAUUAGAUACCCCCGUAGUCC